RNAcentral lists this transfer RNA (58 nucleotides) under Ailuropoda melanoleuca (giant panda). It matches the Rfam family "tRNA", at positions 8 to 63 of the family's 71-position model. Rfam says of the family: Transfer RNA (tRNA) molecules are approximately 80 nucleotides in length. Lineage: Eukaryota; Metazoa; Chordata; Mammalia; Carnivora; Ursidae. The record is from Rfam by way of RNAcentral.
UGGCUCAGUCAGAAGAGCAUGAGACUCCUGAUCUCAGAAUCAUGGGUUUGAGUCCCAC